GGCAUUUCUGAUGCGCCCAAUCAUAAAUAUCUCUGUUUGCCACCAGGACUUUGUCCAAAUCUGAUUGGCUAAACAUAAUUUUGUAACGUGAAUUGAAUUAUGUGAAUUGGAUCGAAAUGAUGAAAACGUCGUUGGUUUUAUAAGAAAUGCGCAGGUGAGAAAUUGCAGCGAAAGUCUCUGAUUGGGCGCUGAUUGAUUGGGAACCUUCAGAUUUCGAACGCCGGCGUCUAACCGAUGAGCCUGCAGGGGGAAACGGCUGAGGCUGUGGCUGUGUGGGCCCCCACUGCCCGUUUCUGGGCCUACGUGUGCCGGGUGCUGGAGGACACAUCGCUGGCUGUGCGGAAGAGCGACCCACGCCUGCCCGAGCUGAAUGUCCAGUGCGUUAAGACCGGUCUCAGUGCCAUGUGUUCUCCUGGACCAUAGAGUCUCCUUAUUCUCAUGGACCAUAGAGUUCCAUUAUUCUCCUGGAGCAUAGAGUUCCCAUUAUUCCCCUGGACCAUAGAGUCCCUUUGUUCUCCUGGACCAUAGAGUUCUCUCUUCCCCUUCUCCCUCAGUCCGCUGGCUGGGGUUCACUGCACCACACACACACACAGCUGUGAUUACUGCGCCACUCUGGGGCUUCUGUGCCAGCGGAUUCUUUCGCCUGGUUUCACGAGAGGCACAACACUCUGCACAAGUGCGCCUCGAACUGAAGACGGCUCCUCCCAGCUCCUCCCACCCGCCUCCUGCUCCGGAAACCGAGAGCACCCUACCAAACCAGGCGAGCUGAGCAGGAGGGCCGUCAAUGAGCACUCGAAUGUGGAUUCCUCUUAUGAGAGGCUGACUGUGGUUCUUCCGCUGCCUCUCAUAAGUAAACUAAAAUAGUCUCGGGGAGUUUCAAGACUGAGCUUGAUACGGUGUUGGAUACUAUCUAGUCUGUAGGUAAUCAGAGCACUAAUUUAGUCAGUAAAAUGGCAAGCAUUAGGCUGAAUGGCCUGUUCUCAUUCAUGUUUUAUGUUAUGUUUAUGUUAUGUUGUUAUGUUACGUUACGUUAUUUCAUUUUUGGUGCUGUGGAUAUGACUAUUCAAUGGUGUAAAUGUAAAAGGCAAGGAAUCGUGUCUGAACACAAAACAAAUUCCGCCAUAUAAACAUGCACCUUUUGCAUUUUGAUAUUUGGCAGUUGGCAGUGCCUGCCUGUUCAGCGCUGCGCUGCUGGACCUCCGCUCUUCAGCGGGGUCUGAAGGUCUGGAGGCGAGAGGGACGUUGACGGAAGGCUCAUUACUGUGGAUUGACACCGUGCCCACGGAAAUACCGCGUAGUGUGAAAUGAACCACGCUCCAAAAACCAACGCGAAGACUCUGGCCUGUGGUCUCCCUCGGUUAUCGGCUGCGUUGGUUUGGCCUGUGCCCCGACGGCAUUCUGGGAUUUCUCUGGAUGAGUGCACGCGUGAAGACCGGGGUUUCGCUGCCUUCAGCAGUCAGGUUCUCGCCGGUAUCCUGCAGUGAGUACACCCCUCCCUCCUGUGCAGGUGAAGCCGCAUGCCCGUAAAUCCCACUGGCCCGCUGCUUCAGCAUCUUGGUGGGUAAUGACCAUAUCCCGAAAAACCAAUUAACAGUAAAAAAAAUAAAUAAAUGUUCUGAAUAAAUCCUUACGGC
This is a long non-coding RNA of Anguilla rostrata (American eel), 1634 nucleotides long. RefSeq lists it as uncharacterized. Lineage: Eukaryota; Metazoa; Chordata; Actinopteri; Anguilliformes; Anguillidae. The record is from RefSeq and is a predicted model, not a curated record. The transcript has 4 exons.